AGUGAACGCUGGCGGUAGACCUAACACAUGCAAGUCGAACGGCAGCACAGUAAGAGCUUGCUCUUACGGGUGGCGAGUGGCGGACGGGUGAGGAAUACAUCGGAAUCUACUUUUUCGUGGGGGAUAACGUAGGGAAACUUACGCUAAUACCGCAUACGACCUACGGGUGAAAGCAGGGGAUCUUCGGACCUUGCGCGAUUGAAUGAGCCGAUGUCGGAUUAGCUAGUUGGCGGGGUAAAGGCCCACCAAGGCGACGAUCCGUAGCUGGUCUGAGAGGAUGAUCAGCCAUACUGGAACUGAGACACGGUCCAGACUCCUACGGGAGGCAGCAGUGGGGAAUAUUGGACAAUGGGCGCAAGCCUGAUCCAGCCAUACCGCGUGGGUGAAGAAGGCCUUCGGGUUGUAAAGCCCUUUUGUUGGGAAAGAAAAGCAGCAGGUUAAUACCCCGCUGUUCUGACGGUACCCAAAGAAUAAGCACCGGCUAACUUCGUG
RNAcentral lists this ribosomal RNA (492 nucleotides) under uncultured bacterium. Its description in RNAcentral is "partial 16S ribosomal RNA". It matches the Rfam family "Bacterial small subunit ribosomal RNA", at positions 29 to 507 of the family's 1533-position model. The record is from RNAcentral.